UACGUAGGGUGCAAGCGUUAAUCGGAAUUAUUGGGCGUAAAGCGUGCGCAGGCGGUUGUGCAAGACAGAUGUGAAAUCCCCGGGCUCAACCUGGGAACUGCAUUUGUGACUGCACGGCUAGAGUGUGUCAGAGGGGGGUAGAAUUCCACGUGUAGCAGUGAAAUGCGUAGAUAUGUGGAGGAAUACCGAUGGCGAAGGCAGCCCCCUGGGAUAACACUGACGCUCAUGCACGAAAGCGUGGGGAGCAAACAGG
RNAcentral lists this ribosomal RNA (253 nucleotides) under uncultured bacterium. Its description in RNAcentral is "partial 16S ribosomal RNA". It matches the Rfam family "Bacterial small subunit ribosomal RNA", at positions 524 to 776 of the family's 1533-position model. The record is from RNAcentral.